UACAGAUGCAGAGAGGACACACUUGCUCAAUUCUGUGACUAAUAUUUGAUCUGACCUGUUAGUUGGAAUUUAAAUUAUUAAAAGUAACAAUGGAAACAAUGUAAGCGAAGCCGUGUUAAGCACUGCCAAUCACCUCACUCCUCUGCUGUGGUUCUUGCAAGUAGUCAGUGCUGGAAUUGACCCUAUUCAUCACCCUGUUCCUCUUGUAACCCCUGAGCAAAAGGCAGGUAUCUCUAGUGCUCUGUUUGCCUGGUUGAAACUUCCAAUCCAUUUCAUUUGAUCUCAGUGCUCAUUCUGACAUGAUCAAUCACCCUCUGCUUUCUGAGUGCCUGCAGCAAGGAGCUGUGCUCGCCACUGCUGCUCUCUCCUGGUUUUACCUUCUUUCUCUCACCACUUGUUUUCCAUGAUUAAUAAAAUUAAUGCUGUUUUCUCUCUUGCUCUUUUCCAGUGGAGUGUUACAAGGCACUGGCCUUGACCUGCUUCUCCCUUUAUUUGCUGCUCCUCAUGUUGCAGACAAGCUGGAUCUGAACCUUCUGGUCUGUUACCCAGUGCCUCCAAUAUCCUUGUGCUGUGUUUCAACCCUGUAUGCUGCUGCUGGCCUAAGGUCCUUAGUAAAAAGAAACGGGUGAAUAAAGUUGUAUGCAUGCUUCAAGCUAAUGAUCUCCUUCCAAUCCAGCUCCAGGACACCAAGUCUCAUGACAGAAAUGAAGUGAGAGUAUGUUAUGUAAGUAAUUUAUUUGUGCAUCUUUGGUAUUGCAGCACUAAUAGGCUUGCUGCCAGGUAUUCCAGGCUGCAGUUUGUCAUGUCUGACUCUUUAGUCUUUUCAAGCAAUUGAAGAAAUGGCCUUCUGUGGGCUGUCAGUGACAGAUACCAGCUCACUCACAUAGAUAAAGCUCAAUUAGCUCCUGGAGAAAGCAUCUUUUAAAAAUGUAAUGAGCUGCACCAGGGAAGAUAGGUAGACAAGUGUUAUACAAAAACUAAAUAAAAUGUUAACACGGACAAACA
RNAcentral lists this long non-coding RNA (1005 nucleotides) under Anas platyrhynchos platyrhynchos (common mallard). Its description in RNAcentral is "lncRNA (ENSAPLG00000030964.1)". The record is from RNAcentral. Lineage: Eukaryota; Metazoa; Chordata; Aves; Anseriformes; Anatidae.